UGAGGAAUAUUGCACAAUGGGCGAAAGCCUGAUGCAGCAACGCCGCGUGAGGGACGAAGGCCUUCGGGUUGUAAACCUCUUUUCUGAGGGACGAGACAAGGACGGUACCUCAGGAAUAAGUCUCGGCUAACUACGUGCCAGCAGCCGCGGUAAGACGUAGGAGGCGAGCGUUAUCCGGAUUUACUGGGCGUAAAGCGCACGCAGGCGGCUUCGUUAGUCGGAUGUGAAAGCUCCUGGCUUAACCGGGAGAGGCCAUUCGAUACUGCGAGGCUUGAGGUUGGAAGAGGGGUGUGGAAUUCCCGGUGUAGUGGUGGAAUGCGUAGAUAUCGGGAGGAACACCUGUGGCGAAAGCGGCACCCUGGUCCACACCUGACGCUGAGGUGCGAAAGCGUGGGUAGCAAACA
This 404-nucleotide ribosomal RNA is filed under the name uncultured Chloroflexota bacterium. RNAcentral describes it as "uncultured Chloroflexi bacterium partial 16S ribosomal RNA". It matches the Rfam family "Bacterial small subunit ribosomal RNA", at positions 355 to 774 of the family's 1533-position model. The record is from RNAcentral. Lineage: Bacteria; Bacillati; Chloroflexota.